This 503-nucleotide ribosomal RNA is filed under the name uncultured bacterium. Its description in RNAcentral is "partial 16S ribosomal RNA". The record is from RNAcentral.
GGAGUUAGCCGGUGCUUCUUCUGUGAGUGAUGUCCUUCCUGCCGGCUAUUAACCCGCAGGCCUUCUUCCUCACUGAAAGUGCUUUACAACCCGAAGGCCUUCUUCACACACGCGGCAUGGCUGGAUCAGGGUUGCCCCCAUUGUCCAAUAUUCCCCACUGCUGCCUCCCGUAGGAGUCUGGGCCGUGUCUCAGUCCCAGUGUGGCUGAUCAUCCUCUCAGACCAGCUACGGAUCGUCGCCUUGGUGAGCCGUUACCUCACCAACCAGCUAAUCCGACAUAGGCUCAUCCGAUAGCGCGAGGCCCGAAGGUCCCCCGCUUUCCCCCGUAGGGCGUAUGCGGUAUUAGCCUGGGUUUCCCCAGGUUAUCCCCCACUACCGGGCAGAUUCCUAUGCAUUACUCACCCGUCCGCCGCUCGCCACCAGGGAGCAAGCUCCCCGUGCUGCCGCUCGACUUGCNUGUGUAGCNCGCCGCCAGCGUCAUCUGAGCAGAAUACAACUCUCGA